GACGAACGCUGGCGGCGUGCCUAACACAUGCAAGUUGAGCGACGAACCAGGGCUUGCCCUGGGGCAAAGCAGCGAACGGGUGAGUAACACGUGGGUAACCUACCCCGAUAACCGGGACAACCCGAGGAAACUCGGGCUAAUACCGGAUGUGCUCACUGGACUUCGGUUCAGUGCGUAAAGGAAGCUUCGGCCUCCGUAUCGGGAGGGGCCCGCGGCCCAUUAGUUUGUUGGUGAGGUAACGGCUCACCAAGACCGCGAUGGGUAGCUGGUCUGAGAGGACGAUCAGCCACACUGGGACUGAGACACGGCCCAGACUCCUACGGGAGGCAGCAGUGGGGAAUCUUGCGCAAUGCGCGAAAGCGUGACGCAACAACGCCGCGUGGGGGAAGAAGGCCUUCGGGUUGUAAACCCCUUUCAGGAGGGACGAAGGUUCGGCGGUGAAUAGCCGUCCGGACUGACGGUACCUCCACAAGAAGCCCCGGCUAACUACGUG
Molecule: ribosomal RNA, 493 nt
Filed under: uncultured bacterium
Lineage: Bacteria
Description: partial 16S ribosomal RNA
Rfam family: Bacterial small subunit ribosomal RNA
Source: RNAcentral